This 239-nucleotide ribosomal RNA is filed under the name Clostridioides difficile. RNAcentral describes it as "partial 16S ribosomal RNA". It matches the Rfam family "Bacterial small subunit ribosomal RNA", at positions 1304 to 1533 of the family's 1533-position model. Lineage: Bacteria; Bacillati; Bacillota; Clostridia; Peptostreptococcales; Peptostreptococcaceae. The record is from RNAcentral.
GCUGAAACUCGCCUACAUGAAGCUGGAGUUACUAGUAAUCGCAGAUCAGAAUGCUGCGGUGAAUGCGUUCCCGGGUCUUGUACACACCGCCCGUCACACCACGGGAGUUGGAGACGCCCGAAGCCGAUUAUCUAACCUUUUGGAAGAAGUCGGCGAAGGUGGAAUCAAUAACUGGGGUGAAGUCGUAACAAGGUAGCCGUAUCGGAAGGUGCGGCUGGAUCACCUCCUUUCUAAGGAGA